Molecule: ribosomal RNA, 526 nt
Filed under: uncultured bacterium
Lineage: Bacteria
Description: partial 16S ribosomal RNA
Rfam family: Bacterial small subunit ribosomal RNA
Source: RNAcentral
UGGGGAAUUUUGGACAAUGGGGGCAACCCUGAUCCAGCAAUGCCGCGUGUGUGAAGAAGGCCUUCGGGUUGUAAAGCACUUUUGUCCGGGAAGAAAUCCCCUGCCCUAAUACGGCGGGGGGAUGACGGUACCGGAAGAAUAAGCACCGGCUAACUACGUGCCAGCAGCCGCGGUAAUACGUAGGGUGCGAGCGUUAAUCGGAAUUACUGGGCGUAAAGCGUGCGCAGGCGGUGAUGUAAGACCGAUGUGAAAUCCCCGGGCUCAACCUGGGAACUGCAUUGGUGACUGCAUUGCUCGAGUAUGGCAGAGGGGGGUGGAAUUCCACGUGUAGCAGUGAAAUGCGUAGAGAUGUGGAGGAACACCGAUGGCGAAGGCAGCCCCCUGGGCCAAUACUGACGCUCAUGCACGAAAGCGUGGGGAGCAAACAGGAUUAGAUACCCUGGUAGUCCACGCCCUAAACGAUGUCAACUGGUUGUCGGGCCUUCAUUGGCUUGGUAACGUAGCUAACGCGUGAAGUUGACCGCCU